This 468-nucleotide ribosomal RNA is filed under the name uncultured bacterium. Its description in RNAcentral is "partial 16S ribosomal RNA". It matches the Rfam family "Bacterial small subunit ribosomal RNA", at positions 28 to 507 of the family's 1533-position model. The record is from RNAcentral.
GAUGAACGCUGGCGGCGUGCUUAACACAUGCAAGUCGAACGGAAAGGCCCUUCUUUUGUGGGGUGCUCGAGUGGCGAACGGGUGAGUAACACGUGAGUAACCUGCCCUGGACUUUGGGAUAACUUCAGGAAACUGGGUCUAAUACCGGAUAGGAGGUUGGUUUGGAUGGCGGUGGGUGGAGAGUUUCGGCGGUUGGGGAUGUACUCGCGGCUUAUCAGCUUGUUGGUGGGGUAGUGGCUUACCAAGGCUUUGACGGGUAGCCGGCCUGAGAGGGUGAGCGGCCACAUUGGGACUGAGAUACGGCCCAGACUCCUACGGGAGGCAGCAGUGGGGAAUAUUGCACAAUGGGCGCAAGCCUGAUGCAGCGACGCCGCGUGCGGGAUGACGGCCUUCGGGUUGUAAACCGCUUUCGCCUGUGACGAAGCGCGAGUGACGGUACCUGGAGAAGAAGCACCGGCUAACUACGUG